GUCCACGCCGUAAACGAUGAUAACUAGCUGUCCGGGCACUUGGUGCUUGGGUGGCGCAGCUAACGCAUUAAGUUAUCCGCCUGGGGAGUACGGCCGCAAGGUUAAAACUCAAAGAAAUUGACUGGGGCCUGCACAAGCGGUGGAGCAUGUGGUUUAAUUCGAAGCAACGCGCAGAACCUUACCAACGUUUGACAUCCCUAGUAUGGAUCGUGGAGACACUUUCCUUCAGUUCGGCUGGCUAGGUUACAGGUGCUGCAUGGCUGUCGU
This 267-nucleotide ribosomal RNA is filed under the name uncultured bacterium. Its description in RNAcentral is "partial 16S ribosomal RNA". It matches the Rfam family "Bacterial small subunit ribosomal RNA", at positions 793 to 1055 of the family's 1533-position model. The record is from RNAcentral.